AACGAAUGACGCUGUUGAUUUUUUUACCAACGUUUGACCAUUCGUCUUAUUAAAAACUUUAUGUAUUUAUUAUUUAUUUUAUUAUGACUUGAUUUAUCAUAAAAUGUUAUUUAAGCGUGACAUAAAUAUUUUUGUAUUUACAUAAAAAUUUUAAAUAAGACGAAUGGUCAAACGUAGAUCAAAAAGUCAACGGUGUCAUACAUU
RNAcentral lists this microRNA precursor (204 nucleotides) under Oryza glumipatula. RNAcentral's name for it is "MIR812 microRNA precursor family". It matches the Rfam family "MIR812 microRNA precursor family". Lineage: Eukaryota; Viridiplantae; Streptophyta; Magnoliopsida; Poales; Poaceae. The record is from Rfam by way of RNAcentral.